GCACUGCUGAGGAGUCCUAUAAUAGGACGAAACGGCUGUGAAGUGC
Non-coding RNA from Schistosoma mansoni, 46 nucleotides. The record is from Rfam. Lineage: Eukaryota; Metazoa; Platyhelminthes; Trematoda; Strigeidida; Schistosomatidae.